UACGUAGGGUGCAAGCGUUGUCCGGAAUUAUUGGGCGUAAAGAGCUCGUAGGCGCCACUCAAGUCGAAUGUGAAACCUCGAGGCUUAACCUCGAGCCUGCAUUCGAUACUGGGCGGCUAGAGUCUGGUAGGGGGAUCUGGAAUUCCUGGUGUAGCGGUGGAAUGCGCAGAUAUCAGGAGGAACACCGGUGGCGAAGGCGGGAUCCUGGGCCAGUACUGACGCUGAGGAGCGAAAGCGGUGGGGAGCAAA
This 249-nucleotide ribosomal RNA is filed under the name uncultured bacterium. RNAcentral's name for it is "partial 16S ribosomal RNA". It matches the Rfam family "Bacterial small subunit ribosomal RNA", at positions 524 to 772 of the family's 1533-position model. The record is from RNAcentral.